GAUGAAGAACGUAGCGAGAUGCGAUAAGUAAUGUGAAUUGCAGAAUUCAGUGAAUCAUCGAAUCUUUGAACGCACAUUGCGCCCCUUGGUAUUCCGGGGGGCAUGCCUCUUCCAGCGUCAUUUCACCCCUCAAGCUCUGCUUGGUUUUGGGCCGCGCCGGCAACGGCGGGCCUCGAAAAUAGUGGCGACGCCAUCGUGCUCUCAGCGUAGUAAUUCUUCUCGCUGUUGGGUCCCGGUGGUCGUCCGCCAGCAACCCCCAACUUUCUUAAGUUUGACCUGGGAUGAGGUAGGGAUACCCGCUGAACUUAAGCAUAUCAAUAAGCGGAGGA
This 329-nucleotide unclassified non-coding RNA is filed under the name soil metagenome. RNAcentral's name for it is "partial contains 5.8S ribosomal RNA, internal transcribed spacer 2, and large subunit ribosomal RNA". The stretch from base 1 to 120 matches the Rfam family "5.8S ribosomal RNA", at positions 35 to 154 of the family's 154-position model. The record is from RNAcentral.